This 253-nucleotide ribosomal RNA is filed under the name uncultured bacterium. RNAcentral's name for it is "partial 16S ribosomal RNA". It matches the Rfam family "Bacterial small subunit ribosomal RNA", at positions 524 to 776 of the family's 1533-position model. The record is from RNAcentral.
UACGAAGGGGGCUAGCGUUGCUCGGAAUCACUGGGCGUAAAGGGUGCGUAGGCGGGUCUUUAAGUCAGGGGUGAAAUCCUGGAGCUCAACUCCAGAACUGCCUUCGAUACUGGCGAUCUUGAGUCUGGGAGAGGUGAGUGGAACUCCGAGUGUAGAGGUGAAAUUCGUAGAUAUUCGGAAGAACACCAGUGGCGAAGGCGGCUCACUGGCCCGGUACUGACGCUGAGGUGCGAAAGCGUGGGGAGCAAACAGG